RNA transcript from Cucurbita maxima (winter squash), 1020 nucleotides. RefSeq lists it as uncharacterized. Lineage: Eukaryota; Viridiplantae; Streptophyta; Magnoliopsida; Cucurbitales; Cucurbitaceae. The record is from RefSeq and is a predicted model, not a curated record. The transcript has 6 exons.
UGUAGGAAUAAAAGUAAGGCUUUUCUUCUUUCUUCAACCUCUUUUCUUCACCAACUUGCCAUAGACGGAAGGUUGCAGAAGAAUAAGAAGAAGAAGAGAGGCGGCCAGGAUAAUCGGAGGAGAUUUCGAUUCCUGAAGGAAGGUCGGAGUGCGAUUGACAGUGACGUAUAAUUUCAAGGAGCUGCUCUUUGAUCUUCUUUCCUGGAAUCGAUUUUUCAUUGGCUUUUCUUUUCCCCUGCAAAUCCUUAUCAGUUGCGCGUUUUUCAUUCAUGGGAACAGUGGUUGUCUUGGAUGCUACACAAAGCCGAAACUAAAAACUAAGCUCAACGAACCGUCGGAAGGUCAACCAAUUCAUUGUGAUGGACUAGAGAAACCCAGCAGAUCAGAGGAUUUCUGGACUACUAGUACAUUUGAUGUGGACAACAGUGCAGGUCAAUCACAAGGUAGUAUGUCAUCAAUGAGUACAAUCAACCAGAUGCACAAUCCACACGGUAGCUCGGGCAACGUACACAACCCCUCAGAAUUCAUAAAUCAUGGCUUUCUUCUGUGGAAUCAAACUAGGCAACGCUGGACGGGGAAUAGAUCCGAAAACCGAGCACCGCAGUUUCAAGAACCCAAGCUAGACUGCAAUGCAACAUAUGAAAAUUUACUAGGGAGCAACAAGCCAUUCCGCCAACCAAUUCCACUCAGCGAAAUGGUAGAUUUUCUUGUGGAUGUAUGGGAACAAGAAGGGUUGUAUGAUUGAUUAAUUUGAAGAGUGCACAAGGCUUCAUAGUCUCACUGUGAGUCAAUGGCUUUAUUUGAACCAUCAAAAUCUGCCUUGUAUUGCUGAAACUUCAAAUGAACAUUUCCCCUGCUGCUGCCGACCCCUCUUUUUGGUGCUUGGUUUGAUUUUCUCGUAGUGCCUUGGAGCUUUACAUCUUUACUCUGCUGUAGAAAAUUCAGCUGUGCUAGAAGUUACUGUUUUUGCAAAUUAUUUUUCUUUUCUUUCCUCUAAGUAAUGAUAAACAAAUCUCAACA